Molecule: small nucleolar RNA, 132 nt
Organism: Fukomys damarensis (Damara mole-rat)
Lineage: Eukaryota; Metazoa; Chordata; Mammalia; Rodentia; Bathyergidae
Source: Ensembl
ACGCGCUGCCUUUGGGCCCCCGCCGUCUGUCCGUGGCCCCGGGGGCCAAGCUGCGGCGCCAGAGCACGCGCUCGCGCAUAACUGGGGUCGCCUGCUCCUCGCGGGCGGCCCUUUUAACCACGAGCAACACGG